RNAcentral lists this ribosomal RNA (329 nucleotides) under uncultured bacterium. Its description in RNAcentral is "bacterial SSU rRNA". It matches the Rfam family "Bacterial small subunit ribosomal RNA", at positions 568 to 898 of the family's 1533-position model. The record is from RNAcentral.
CGCGCAGGCGGUCUUCCAAGUCAGUGGUGAAAGCCCGGAGCUCAACUCCGGAACUGCCAUUGAAACUGUUAGACUUGAGUAUGAGAGAGGUGAGUGGAAUUCCCAGUGUAGAGGUGAAAUUCGUAGAUAUUGGGAAGAACACCGGUGGCGAAGGCGGCUCACUGGCUCAUUACUGACGCUCAGGCGCGACAGCGUGGGGAUCAAACAGGAUUAGAUACCCUGGUAGUCCACGCCGUAAACGAUGAAUGCUAGCCGUUGGGCAGCUUGCUGUUCAGUGGCGCAGCUAACGCAUUAAGCAUUCCGCCUGGGGAGUCGGCCGCAAGGUUGAA